This 76-nucleotide transfer RNA is filed under the name Staphylococcus aureus. Its description in RNAcentral is "tRNA-Asn(gtt)". It matches the Rfam family "tRNA". From Rfam's summary of the family: Transfer RNA (tRNA) molecules are approximately 80 nucleotides in length. Lineage: Bacteria; Bacillati; Bacillota; Bacilli; Caryophanales; Staphylococcaceae. The record is from RNAcentral.
ACUAUAGCUAGCUCAGUGGUAGAGCUAUCGGCUGUUAACCGAUCGGUCGUAGGUUCGAGUCCUACCUGUGGAGCCA